GUGGGGAAUAUUGCACAAUGGGGGAAACCCUGAUGCAGCGACGCCGCGUGGGUGAAGAAGUAUCUCGGUAUGUAAAGCCCUAUCAGCAGGGAAGAAAGAAAUGACAGUACCUGACUAAGAAGCCCCGGCUAACUACGUGCCAGCAGCCGCGGUAAUACGUAGGGGGCAAGCGUUAUCCGGAUUUACUGGGUGUAAAGGGAGCGUAGGCGGCCAUGUAAGUCAGAAGUGAAAGCCCGGGGCCCAACCCCGGGACUGCUUUUGAAACUGUGUGGCUAGAGUGUCGGAGGGGUAAGUGGAAUUCCUAGUGUAGCGGUGAAAUGCGUAGAUAUUAGGAGGAACACCAGUGGCGAAGGCGGCUUACUGGACGAUGACUGACGCUGAGGCUCGAAAGCGUGGGGAGCAAACAGGA
Molecule: ribosomal RNA, 409 nt
Filed under: uncultured bacterium
Lineage: Bacteria
Description: bacterial SSU rRNA
Rfam family: Bacterial small subunit ribosomal RNA
Source: RNAcentral